GGAGCCCAGAGCCUGAAUCAGUGUGUGUGUUAGUGGAAGCGUCUGGAAAGGCGUGCGAUACAGGGUGACAGCCCCGUACACAAAAAUGCACAUAUUGUGAGCUCGAUGAGUAGGGCGGGACACGUGGUAUCCUGUCUGAAUAUGGGGGGACCAUCCUCCAAGGCUAAAUACUCCUGACUGACCGAUAGUGAACCAGUACCGUGAGGGAAAGGCGAAAAGAACCCCGGCGAGGGGAGUGAAAAAGAACCUGAAACCGUGUACGUACAAGCAGUGGGAGCCUCUUAAUGGGGUGACUGCGUACCUUUUGUAUAAUGGGUCAGCGACUUAUAUUCUGUAGCAAGGUUAACCGAAUAGGGGAGCCGAAGGGAAACCGAGUCUUAACUGGGCGUUAAGUUGCAGGGUAUAGACCCGAAACCCGGUGAUCUAGCCAUGGGCAGGUUGAAGGUUGGGUAACACUAACUGGAGGACCGAACCGACUAAUGUUGAAAAAUUAGCGGAUGACUUGUGGCUGGGGGUGAAAGGCCAAUCAAACCGGGAGAUAGCUGGUUCUCCCCGAAAGCUAUUUAGGUAGCGCCUCGUGAAUUCAUCUCCGGGGGUAGAGCACUGUUUCGGCAAGGGGGUCAUCCCGACUUACCAACCCGAUGCAAACUGCGAAUACCGGAGAAUGUUAUCACGGGAGACACACGGCGGGUGCUAACGUCCGUCGUGAAGAGGGAAACAACCCAGACCGCCAGCUAAGGUCCCAAAGUCAUGGUUAAGUGGGAAACGAUGUGGGAAGGCCCAGACAGCCAGGAUGUUGGCUUAGAAGCAGCCAUCAUUUAAAGAAAGCGUAAUAGCUCACUGGUCGAGUCGGCCUGCGCGGAAGAUGUAACGGGGCUAAACCAUGCACCGAAGCUGCGGCAGCGACACUAUGUGUUGUUGGGUAGGGGAGCGUUCUGUAAGCCUGUGAAGGUGGCCUGUGAGGGUUGCUGGAGGUAUCAGAAGUGCGAAUGCUGACAUAAGUAACGAUAAAGCGGGUGAAAAGCCCGCUCGCCGGAAGACCAAGGGUUCCUGUCCAACGUUAAUCGGGGCAGGGUGAGUCGACCCCUAAGGCGAGGCCGAAAGGCGUAGUCGAUGGGAAACAGGUUAAUAUUCCUGUACUUGGUGUUACUGCGAAGGGGGGACGGAGAAGGCUAUGUUGGCCGGGCGACGGUUGUCCCGGUUUAAGCGUGUAGGCUGGUUUUCCAGGCAAAUCCGGAAAACC
Molecule: ribosomal RNA, 1243 nt
Filed under: Escherichia coli
Lineage: Bacteria; Pseudomonadati; Pseudomonadota; Gammaproteobacteria; Enterobacterales; Enterobacteriaceae
Description: partial 23S ribosomal RNA
Rfam family: Bacterial large subunit ribosomal RNA
Source: RNAcentral